RNAcentral lists this ribosomal RNA (497 nucleotides) under uncultured bacterium. RNAcentral describes it as "partial 16S ribosomal RNA". It matches the Rfam family "Bacterial small subunit ribosomal RNA", at positions 28 to 507 of the family's 1533-position model. The record is from RNAcentral.
GAUGAACGCUGGCGGCGUGCCUAAUGCAUGCAAGUCGAGCGAACAGACGAGGAGCUUGCUCCUCUGACGUUAGCGGCGGACGGGUGAGUAACACGUGGAUAACCUACCUAUAAGACUGGGAUAACUUCGGGAAACCGGAGCUAAUACCGGAUAAUAUAUUGAACCGCAUGGUUCAAUAGUGAAAGACGGUUUUGCUGUCACUUAUAGAUGGAUCCGCGCCGCAUUAGCUAGUUGGUAAGGUAACGGCUUACCAAGGCAACGAUGCGUAGCCGACCUGAGAGGGUGAUCGGCCACACUGGAACUGAGACACGGUCCAGACUCCUACGGGAGGCAGAAGUAGGGAAUCUUCCGCAAUGGGCGAAAGCCUGACGGAGCAACGCCGCGUGAGUGAUGAAGGUCUUCGGAUCGUAAAACUCUGUUAUUAGGGAAGAACAAAUGUGUAAGUAACUAUGCACGUCUUGACGGUACCUAAUCAGAAAGCCACGGCUAACUACGUG